Molecule: ribosomal RNA, 232 nt
Filed under: uncultured bacterium
Lineage: Bacteria
Description: partial 16S ribosomal RNA
Rfam family: Bacterial small subunit ribosomal RNA
Source: RNAcentral
UGAGUAACCUGCCCUCCACUCUGGGAUAAGCCCGGGAAACUGGGUCUAAUACCGGAUAUGACCUCCUGUCUCAUGGCGGGUGGUGGAAAGUUUUUUCGGUGGGGGAUGGACUCGCGGCCUAUCAGCUUGUUGGUGAGGUAAUGGCUUACCAAGGCGACGACGGGUAGCCGGCCUGAGAGGGUGACCGGCCACACUGGGACUGAGACACGGCCCAGACUCCUACGGGAGGCAG